This is a long non-coding RNA of Bubalus bubalis (water buffalo), 352 nucleotides long. RefSeq lists it as uncharacterized. The transcript has 2 exons. The record is from RefSeq and is a predicted model, not a curated record. NCBI's taxonomy places the organism in Eukaryota, Metazoa, Chordata, Mammalia, Artiodactyla, Bovidae.
UUCCUCCUAGAAGGCAGAACCGCCGAGUUCAUUGUGGGUGGUGGACGGCUCCAGCAGGAGGUUGACCUGAGUGGCUCAUGGCCUUUUCAGGCUUAACUGUGGACAUUACACAGUGUUAUUUCCAGGACAUCUGUCAGUGUCUUAAUUCUGUAUCUACACAGAGAGAAAGCCAUGAGAGAACCCUAGGAGAAGGCCGUCAUCUCAAAGCCAAGGAUGGACUGCUCAAGAAAAUCCAACUCGACCUUAAAUCCCAGCCUCCAGAACAUGAGAGAAUGGUGUUCGGUCUUUUAAACAACCGGGUCUGUGGUAUUUUGUGAUGGCAGGCCUAGUAAACUAAGAUAAGACUCUAAAA